UACGAAGGGGGCUAGCGUUGCUCGGAAUCACUGGGCGUAAAGGGCGCGUAGGCGGCGCGGAUAGUCGGCGGUGAAAGCCCGGAGCUCAACUCCGGGUCGGCCGUCGAUACUUCCGGGCUUGAGCACUGUAGAGGCAGAUGGAAUUCCGGGUGUAGCGGUGGAAUGCGUAGAGAUCCGGAAGAACACCGGUGGCGAAGGCGGCCUGCUGGGCAGUGGCUGACGCUGAGGCGCGACAGCGUGGGGAGCAAACAGG
This 253-nucleotide ribosomal RNA is filed under the name uncultured bacterium. Its description in RNAcentral is "partial 16S ribosomal RNA". It matches the Rfam family "Bacterial small subunit ribosomal RNA", at positions 524 to 776 of the family's 1533-position model. The record is from RNAcentral.